This 281-nucleotide ribosomal RNA is filed under the name uncultured bacterium. RNAcentral describes it as "partial 16S ribosomal RNA". It matches the Rfam family "Bacterial small subunit ribosomal RNA", at positions 28 to 334 of the family's 1533-position model. The record is from RNAcentral.
GAUGAACGCUGGCGGGAUGCCUUACACAUGCAAGUUGUACGAGAAUUUCUAAUUCAAGUGGCGGACGGGUGAGUAACACGUAAGAAUUUACCUUUAGGAGGGGGACAACAACUGGAAACGGUUGCUAAUACCCCAUAUGCUUUUAAGUAAAAUGGAUUUUUCCGCCUAGAGAGAAGCUUGCGGCUGAUUAGCUUGUUGGUAAGGUAAUGGCUUACCAAGGCGACGAUCAGUAUCUGGUUUGAGAGGAUGAUCAGACACACUGGAACUGAGACACGGUCCAG